GGGGGCGUAAAGGCUUCGACAGGAGUUAGUCUUUGAAUAAAGAAGCGAGCCGAGGUCCGGGCUGCCUCGUUAAACUGACCGGGCGUUAAACUUAAACGCAAACGAACCUGUAGCAUUAGCCGCCUAAUCUAGCGCGGCUACGCCGCCUAAUGUUUGUCCGUGGCAUUAGAUCCGGCGUCGCUAAGCGGACUACCGACCAGCUGAAGUCUGUAGGCUGAGAGGGAAACCUUGCAGGCUGGCUUGGCUUAAAGAUUGCUUAUGACCUUAAGUUAAGUAAGAUUUAAUCAUAAGCUACGCUCGUAGAGGCUUUAUUCGGGAGCUUCUGGACUCGGGUUCGAUUCCCGACGCCUCCACCA
RNAcentral lists this transfer-messenger RNA (356 nucleotides) under Actinomycetota (actinobacteria). RNAcentral describes it as "CAJVYJ01 sp913009475 Standard tmRNA". It matches the Rfam family "transfer-messenger RNA". Rfam says of the family: Bacterial tmRNA, also known as 10Sa RNA or SsrA, is named for its dual tRNA and mRNA-like properties. Its role is to liberate the mRNA from a stalled ribosome. To accomplish this part of the tmRNA is used as a reading frame that ends in a translation stop signal. The record is from RNAcentral. Lineage: Bacteria; Bacillati. RNAcentral also lists the same sequence under 1 other name.